Molecule: ribosomal RNA, 616 nt
Filed under: Planctomycetes bacterium RIFCSPHIGHO2_12_FULL_51_37
Lineage: Bacteria; Pseudomonadati; Planctomycetota
Description: bacterial SSU rRNA
Rfam family: Bacterial small subunit ribosomal RNA
Source: RNAcentral
GAGCAUGUGGCUUAAUUCGAUGCAACGCGAAGAACCUUACCGGGGCUUGACAUGGUGGAAGUAGGAACCCGAAAGGGGGACCAACGGUAUCCAAUCCGUAACCAUCACAGGUGCUGCAUGGCUGUCGUCAGCUCGUGCCGUGAGGCGUCGGGUUAAGUCCUCUAACGAGCGAAACCCUUAUCUCUAGUUGCCAGCGGGUCACGCCGGGAACUCUAGAGAGACUGCCGUCGUCAAGACGGAGGAAGGUGGGGAUGACGUCAAGUCAUCAUGGCCUUUAUGCCCCGGGCUGCACACGUGCUACAAUGGUCGGUACAAAGGGAUGCGAAACUGCAAAGUGAAGCGAAACCCAGAAAGCUGGCCCCAGUUCAGAUCGGAGGCUGAAACUCGCCUCCGUGAAGUCGGAAUCGCUAGUAAUCGCGGAUCAGCUACGCCGCGGUGAAUAUGUUCCCGAGCCUUGUACACACCGCCCGUCAAGCCACCCAAGCAGGGUGUACCAGAAAUCGCUGACCCAACCCGCAAGGGAGGGAGGCGCUGAAGGUACGUCUUGUGAGGAGGACUAAGUCGUAACAAGGUAGCCGUAGGAGAACCUGCGGCUGGAUCACCUCCUUUCUAAGGA